CCAAAACGUACGUGCCCUCGGCACAAUCUGACACAACAUCAGUAAUCUGGGUCCACCGUUAACCCCCAACGGCACCGGACAGUCCGGAACAGUCUGAACACUACAGUAAAAAUACACUCUACAUCUCAGCACGAGCGUAAAUGCAUUCUAAACUACCCUGGGUAUCCACCUCUCUGAAACUGCGGUAAUACAAUCAAACCACGACUCCUAGAGCUAAAUCAGGUAGUUAAGCAUAUGACAGAUUCAAAU
RNAcentral lists this long non-coding RNA (249 nucleotides) under Ananas comosus (pineapple). Its description in RNAcentral is "long non-coding RNA (ACOM_LNC038749)". The record is from RNAcentral. Lineage: Eukaryota; Viridiplantae; Streptophyta; Magnoliopsida; Poales; Bromeliaceae.